AGAGUUUGAUCAUGGCUCAGGAUGAACGCUAGCUACAGGCUUAACACAUGCAAGUCGAGGGGCAGCAUGUUGGUUGCUUGCAACCAAUGAUGGCGACCGGCGCACGGGUGAGUAACGCGUAUCCAACCUACCCUUGUCCAUCGGAUAACCCGUCGAAAGGCGGCCUAACACGAUAUGCGGUUCACAGCAGGCAUCUAAGGUGAACGAAAUGUGAAGGAGAAGGAUGGGGAUGCGUCUGAUUAGCUUGUUGGCGGGGUAACGGCCACCAAGGCUACGAUCAGUAGGGGUUCUGAGAGGAAGGUCCCCCANAUUGGAACUGAGACACGGUCCAAACUCAUACGGGAGCA
RNAcentral lists this ribosomal RNA (347 nucleotides) under uncultured bacterium. Its description in RNAcentral is "bacterial SSU rRNA". It matches the Rfam family "Bacterial small subunit ribosomal RNA", at positions 8 to 349 of the family's 1533-position model. The record is from RNAcentral.